CUGAUCCAGCCAUGCCGCGUGAGUGAUGAAGGCCCUAGGGUUGUAAAGCUCUUUCACCGGAGAAGAUAAUGACGGUAUCCGGAGAAGAAGCCCCGGCUAACUUCGUGCCAGCAGCCGCGGUAAUACGAAGGGGGCUAGCGUUGUUCGGAAUUACUGGGCGUAAAGCGCACGUAGGCGGAUCGAUCAGUCAGGGGUGAAAUCCCAGGGCUCAACCCUGGAACUGCCUUUGAUACUGUCGAUCUGGAGUAUGGAAGAGGUGAGUGGAAUUCCGAGUGUAGAGGUGAAAUUCGUAGAUA
Molecule: ribosomal RNA, 296 nt
Filed under: Rhizobium sp.
Lineage: Bacteria; Pseudomonadati; Pseudomonadota; Alphaproteobacteria; Hyphomicrobiales; Rhizobiaceae
Description: partial 16S ribosomal RNA
Rfam family: Bacterial small subunit ribosomal RNA
Source: RNAcentral